Long non-coding RNA from Melospiza melodia melodia, 513 nucleotides. RefSeq lists it as uncharacterized. The record is from RefSeq and is a predicted model, not a curated record. The transcript has 3 exons. Lineage: Eukaryota; Metazoa; Chordata; Aves; Passeriformes; Passerellidae.
UGCAUUCAACAGAGCCUUGCAGGAUGCAAAUUCCUACAGUUGCACCUACGGUGGGCAUGUGGAGCUGAUUUUCACCAGCUGAUGAGCUUUAACUGCCAGUGCACUGCCGACUGUAGGACUGGGGUUUCAGUCAGGUCUGGCCAAAACUCGGCUGGUUUAUUCCUCUCCAUUUGAACCACCGUGCCCCUGGGCUAUGGGAUUCAGCUGACUUGUUUAGACAGAGGGGCUGGAGAAUGAUGGGAAGCAGCUAGGAAAUAAGGGUUUUCCGGCUGAGCCCAAGAGCUGGGAUUGCUGGGGUCUUCCUGAUGCUUCCAGUGGUCCUCCUCCUGCCUCAGGCUCCUUCAGGAAAGUUUCUGUGCAGAAAUGUUACUGGUUCAGUGCAGGAGUCAGAGUCUCAACAGAACGGACAUUCAAACACGUUCAACUACAAAAGAGAAUUGAUGACAACUCUGUGAAUCCAGGUCAGCAUUUCUGUGGGGUUUACAAGACAUGCUUGGACAUUGGAGUGACAGG